CCUGAUAGCUCCAUUGGUAGAGAAUCUGCCUGCAAUGCAGGAGACCCUGGUUCGAUUCCUGGGUCAGGA
RNAcentral lists this transfer RNA (69 nucleotides) under Bos taurus (domestic cattle). It matches the Rfam family "tRNA". Rfam says of the family: Transfer RNA (tRNA) molecules are approximately 80 nucleotides in length. Their secondary structure includes four short double-helical elements and three loops (D, anti-codon, and T loops). Further hydrogen bonds mediate the characteristic L-shaped molecular structure. tRNAs have two regions of fundamental functional importance: the anti-codon, which is responsible for specific mRNA codon recognition, and the 3' end, to which the tRNAs corresponding amino acid is attached (by aminoacyl-tRNA synthetases). tRNAs cope with the degeneracy of the genetic code in two manners: having more than one tRNA (with a specific anti-codon) for a particular amino acid; and 'wobble' base-pairing, i.e. permitting non-standard base-pairing at the 3rd anti-codon position. RNAcentral also lists the same sequence under 1 other name. The record is from Rfam by way of RNAcentral. Lineage: Eukaryota; Metazoa; Chordata; Mammalia; Artiodactyla; Bovidae.